RNAcentral lists this transfer RNA (71 nucleotides) under Notemigonus crysoleucas (golden shiner). RNAcentral describes it as "tRNA-Ile". It matches the Rfam family "tRNA". From Rfam's summary of the family: Transfer RNA (tRNA) molecules are approximately 80 nucleotides in length. Their secondary structure includes four short double-helical elements and three loops (D, anti-codon, and T loops). Further hydrogen bonds mediate the characteristic L-shaped molecular structure. tRNAs have two regions of fundamental functional importance: the anti-codon, which is responsible for specific mRNA codon recognition, and the 3' end, to which the tRNAs corresponding amino acid is attached (by aminoacyl-tRNA synthetases). tRNAs cope with the degeneracy of the genetic code in two manners: having more than one tRNA (with a specific anti-codon) for a particular amino acid; and 'wobble' base-pairing, i.e. permitting non-standard base-pairing at the 3rd anti-codon position. The record is from RNAcentral. Lineage: Eukaryota; Metazoa; Chordata; Actinopteri; Cypriniformes; Leuciscidae.
GGAACUGUGCCCGAAUGCCCAGGGACCACUUUGAUAGAGUGACUAAUAGGGGUUAAAAUCCCCUCAGUUCU